CUGGGAAACUGCCUGAUGGAGGGGGAUAACUACUGGAAACGGUAGCUAAUACCGCAUAACGUCGCAAGACCAAAGAGGGGGACCUUCGGGCCUCUUGCCAUCGGAUGUGCCCAGAUGGGAUUAGCUAGUAGGUGGGGUAACGGCUCACCUAGGCGACGAUCCCUAGCUGGUCUGAGAGGAUGACCAGCCACACUGGAACUGAGACACGGUCCAGACUCCUACGGGAGGCAGCAGUGGGGAAUAUUGCACAAUGGGCGCAAGCCUGAUGCAGCCAUGCCGCGUGUAUGAAGAAGGCCUUCGGGUUGUAAAGUACUUUCAGCGGGGAGGAAGGGAGUAAAGUUAAUACCUUUACUCAUUGACGUUACCCGCAGAAGAAGCACCGGCUAACUCCGUGCCAGCAGCCGCGGUAAUACGGAGGGUGCAAGCGUUAAUCGGAAUUA
This 440-nucleotide ribosomal RNA is filed under the name Escherichia coli. RNAcentral describes it as "bacterial SSU rRNA". It matches the Rfam family "Bacterial small subunit ribosomal RNA", at positions 117 to 553 of the family's 1533-position model. Lineage: Bacteria; Pseudomonadati; Pseudomonadota; Gammaproteobacteria; Enterobacterales; Enterobacteriaceae. The record is from RNAcentral.